Molecule: ribosomal RNA, 438 nt
Filed under: uncultured bacterium
Lineage: Bacteria
Description: partial 16S ribosomal RNA
Rfam family: Bacterial small subunit ribosomal RNA
Source: RNAcentral
CCACGGGGCGCUGCAGUGGGGAAUAUUGCACAAUGGAGGGAACUCUGAUGCAGCAACGCCGCGUGGAGGAUGACGCAUUUCGGUGUGUAAACUCCUUUUAUAUAGGAAGAUAAUGACGGUACUAUAUGAAUAAGCACCGGCUAACUCCGUGCCAGCAGCCGCGGUAAUACGAGGGUGCAAGCGUUACUCGGAAUCACUGGGCGUAAAGCGAAUGCAGGCGGUUAAAUAAGUUGGAAGUGAAAUCCUAUGGCUCAACCAUAGAACUGCUUCCAAAACUGUUUAACUAGAGUCUGGGAGGGGAAGAUGGAAUUAGUAGUGUAGGGGUAAGAUCCGUAGAGAUUACUAGGAAUACCAAAAGCGAAGGCGAUCUUCUGGAACAGUACUGACGCUGAGAUGCGAAAGCGUGGGGAGCAAACAGGAUUAGAUACCCCGGUAGUC